UACGUAGGGCGCAAGCGUUGUCCGGAAUUAUUGGGCGUAAAGAGCUCGUAGGCGGUUUGUCGCGUCUGCUGUGAAAACUCGAGGCUCAACCUCGGGCUUGCAGUGGGUACGGGCAGACUAGAGUGUGGUAGGGGAGACUGGAAUUCCUGGUGUAGCGGUGAAAUGCGCAGAUAUCAGGAGGAACACCGAUGGCGAAGGCAGGUCUCUGGGCCACUACUGACGCUGAGAAGCGAAAGCAUGGGGAGCGAACAGG
This 253-nucleotide ribosomal RNA is filed under the name uncultured bacterium. Its description in RNAcentral is "partial 16S ribosomal RNA". It matches the Rfam family "Bacterial small subunit ribosomal RNA", at positions 524 to 776 of the family's 1533-position model. The record is from RNAcentral.